Molecule: ribosomal RNA, 301 nt
Filed under: uncultured bacterium
Lineage: Bacteria
Description: partial 16S ribosomal RNA
Rfam family: Bacterial small subunit ribosomal RNA
Source: RNAcentral
CAGUCGCCGCGGGAAUACGUAGGUCCCGAGCGUUGUCCGGAUUUAUUGGGCGUAAUGCGAGCGCAGGCGGUUAGAUAAGUCUGAAGUUAAAGGCUGUGGCUUAACCAUAGUACGCUUUGGAAACUGUUUAACUUGAGUGCAAGAGGGGAGAGUGGAAUUCCAUGUGUAGCGGUGAAAUGCGUAGAUAUAUGGAGGAACACCGGUGGCGAAAGCGGCUCUCUGGCUUGUGACUGACGCUGAGGCUCGAAAGCGUGGGGAGCAAACAGGAUUAGAUACCCCGGUAGUCCCUGUCUCUUAUACA